GGAGAGGUGACUGAGUGGCUUAAAGUGAUCGUUUGCUAAACGAUAGUAUGUAAUAGUACCAUGGGUUCGAAUCCCAUUCUCUCCU
Molecule: transfer RNA, 85 nt
Filed under: Histiona aroides
Lineage: Eukaryota; Jakobea; Jakobida; Histionidae
Description: tRNA-Ser
Rfam family: tRNA
About the family: Transfer RNA (tRNA) molecules are approximately 80 nucleotides in length.
Source: RNAcentral